This 375-nucleotide transfer-messenger RNA is filed under the name Izziella formosana. It matches the Rfam family "transfer-messenger RNA". Rfam says of the family: Bacterial tmRNA, also known as 10Sa RNA or SsrA, is named for its dual tRNA and mRNA-like properties. Lineage: Eukaryota; Rhodophyta; Florideophyceae; Nemaliales; Liagoraceae. The record is from RNAcentral.
GGGACUGUUAGGUUUCUACAUGUUAGUAUUGUUUUGAAGGUUAGUAUUUCGUUGAUUCUAGCAAUCAGAUGAAACUAAAACAAAUGCAAAAAAUCAAAUCAUCCCUUUGUCUCGAGGUUUAGUUACAGCUUAAUUGCAAGAUUUAUAUUGUAAACCAAGGUUUCUAAACGUUGAGUGUCAAUUAUUCAUACUGCAUGAUAUAGUUGAUAAUUUAUUUAAGCGGUGCUCCUAGAUGACUGUUAAGUUGAAAUAUUGAACAGCUUUAGGUAAAGUUGAAUAUAUACAGUUAAUCUAUGUUUUUCUAUAUCUAGUAACUAGAUACCUUCCAAAAUAUUAUUAUUAACAUGGACGUGGGUUCGAGUCCCACCAGUUCCA